GACGUAGGGCGCGAGCGUUGUCCGGAUUUAUUGGGCGUAAAGAGCUCGUAGGCGGCUUGUUGCGUCGACUGUGAAAACCCGCGGCUUAACUGCGGGCUUGCAGUUGAUACGGGCAGGCUAGAGUUCGGUAGGGGAGACUGGAAUUCCUGGUGUAGCGGUGAAAUGCGCAGAUAUCAGGAGGAACACCGGUGGCGAAGGCGGGUCUCUGGGCAUGUCCUGACGCUGAGGAGCGAAAGUGUGGGGAGCGAACAGG
Molecule: ribosomal RNA, 253 nt
Filed under: uncultured bacterium
Lineage: Bacteria
Description: partial 16S ribosomal RNA
Rfam family: Bacterial small subunit ribosomal RNA
Source: RNAcentral